GACGAACUGUCCUAACGUUGUUCGGAAUCACUGGGCUUAAAGGGCGCGUAGGCGGUCCGACAAGUCAGGGGUGAAAUCCUGCAGCUUAACUGCAGAAGUGCCUUUGAUACUGUCGGUCUCGAGGGAGAUAGGGGUGUGCGGAACUUCCAGUGGAGCGGUGAAAUGCGUUGAUAUUGGAAGGAACGCCGGAGGCGAAAGCGGCGCACUGGAUCUCUUCUGACGCUGAGGCGCGAAAGCGAGGGGAGCAAACGGG
This 253-nucleotide ribosomal RNA is filed under the name uncultured bacterium. RNAcentral describes it as "partial 16S ribosomal RNA". It matches the Rfam family "Bacterial small subunit ribosomal RNA", at positions 524 to 776 of the family's 1533-position model. The record is from RNAcentral.